CUGGCUCAGGAUGAACGCUAGCUACAGGCUUAACACAUGCAAGUCGAGGGGCAGCAUUGGGAUAGCUUGCUAUUCCAGAUGGCGACCGGCGCACGGGUGAGUAACGCGUAUCCAACCUUCCCUAUAGUAGAGAAUAGCCCGGCGAAAGUCGGAUUAAUGCUCUAUGUUGUGUUUUUGAGGACAUCUGACGAACACCAAAGGUUCACCGCUAUAGGAUGGGGAUGCGUCUGAUUAGCUUGUGGCGGGUAACGGCCCACCAAGGCGACGAUCAGUAGGGGUUCUGAGAGGAAGGUCCCCCACAUUGGUACUGAGACACGGACCAAACUCCUACGGGAGGCAGCAGUGAGGAAUAUUGGUCAAUGGGCGAGAGCCUGAACCAGCCAAGUAGCGUGCAAGGAUGACUGCCCUAUGGGUUGUAAACUGCUUUUAUCAGGGAAUAAAGUGCGGCACGUGUGCCGUUUUGUAUGUACCUGAUGAAUAAGGACCGGCUAAUUCCGUGCCAGCCGCCGC
Molecule: ribosomal RNA, 510 nt
Filed under: uncultured bacterium
Lineage: Bacteria
Description: bacterial SSU rRNA
Rfam family: Bacterial small subunit ribosomal RNA
Source: RNAcentral